ACAUCUCUUGGAGUUCUAGCUCACCUUUCUGGUGUUGUUCUUGUACUCAUCUGUUUAAUCUAGUUCUGCCACUUCUUCUUGAACUUCUUAUUAGAUUUCAAAUCUGUAUUUUGUGUCCGUGACAGCAAUUGGAAUUAUGAAAAAUAAAGUAUCUUUUUUUGAUAAGAGAAGAGAUCUCAAACUAAGUUGAAGACAAAGUUUUGACGGCCAAGACCACAAAAGGAGUGUGAAGAUUAAUCUUGGAAGAUAUCUUUAGUAAAUAUAGUAGCAUUAGAAAGAUGAGAGCUUAUUGAGAAGAAUUGGAUAUAAUAAAGGCC
This 317-nucleotide long non-coding RNA is filed under the name Physcomitrium patens. RNAcentral's name for it is "long non-coding RNA (PPAT_LNC000874)". The record is from RNAcentral. Lineage: Eukaryota; Viridiplantae; Streptophyta; Bryopsida; Funariales; Funariaceae.